GAUGAACGCUGGCGGCGUGCCUAAUACAUGCAAGUCGAACGCAUUGUGGUUGAAAUGAUAUGAAGAACUUGUUCAGAUUUGAUUUUCAACAUUGCAAUGAGUGGCGAACGGGUGAGUAACACGUGGGAAACCUACCUCUUAGCAGGGGAUAACAUUUGGAAACAAAUGCUAAUACCGUAUAAUAAUUAAAACCGCAUGGUUUUAGUUUAAAAGAUGGUCUUGCUAUCACUAAGAGAUGGUCCCGCGGUGUAUUAGUUAGUUGGUGAGGUAAUGGCUCACCAAGACAAUGAUACAUAGCCGAGUUGAGAGACUGACCGGCCACAAUGGGACUGAGACACGGCCCAUACUCCUACGGGAGGCAGCAGUAGGAAGUACUUCCACAAUAGGACGAAAGUACUGAUGGAGCAACGCCGCCGUGUGUGAUGAAGGUUUCGG
This 435-nucleotide ribosomal RNA is filed under the name uncultured bacterium. RNAcentral's name for it is "bacterial SSU rRNA". It matches the Rfam family "Bacterial small subunit ribosomal RNA", at positions 28 to 420 of the family's 1533-position model. The record is from RNAcentral.